Molecule: ribosomal RNA, 216 nt
Filed under: Glomeromycotina sp.
Lineage: Eukaryota; Fungi; Glomeromycota
Description: partial small subunit ribosomal RNA
Rfam family: Eukaryotic small subunit ribosomal RNA (bases 76-216)
Source: RNAcentral
GGGUCAGUAGGUUGGUCGUGCCACCGGUACGUACUGGUCUCACUGAUUCCUCCUUCCUGAAGAACCGUAAUGCCCUUAAUUUGGUGUUGCGGGGAAACAGGACUGUUACUUUGAAAAAAUUAGAGUGUUUAAAGCAAGCUAACGCUUGAGUACAUUAGCAUGGAAUAAUGAAAUAGGACGAUCGAUCCUAUUUUGUUGGUUUCUAGGAUUGACGUA